GUUUAUUUUGCUUUCAUUUUUUUGUAAUAAUUUCCCUGGAUAUGAGAUUCUCCCUGGACAUUUGUUUUCUCUCUUUCAGCACUUAGUACAUGCUGUUCUCCUGGCUUGCUGGCAUCCAUUGCUUCUGAUGAGAAUUCAGCUCUUCUAUUUACUGAGGUUUCUUGUACCUCAUUUAAGACUGGUGUAUUUAUUCGUUUUAACUUUUCUUGUAGAGAAAAUCUGGAGUUGUGCUUGGGAAAGGAUGCAAGAUAGGCAUACUAUAGGCUUUAGGAAGAAGUGGAAAUUACCAAGAUAAGCCAAUGAUAAGAAAAUAUAAAACACAAGACAAUUCAUAGAGAUUGACAAUGGUUAAAGCAGAGACUCAUGUUGAGGAGUAAGAGAAAAUAAGCCUUUAAGACACUGAAUUCAAUUUCUUAGUUGUAAGCAAUGUAGCAAAGUAUAUAUUAGAUCAAGGAAAAUGUCUCACUUCUGUAAAAUAUUGGGGAAUAAGUCUGUAUGAAGUAUGGCUGAUACAGCUGGUUUCCUGCCAAUUCUUGGAUGGGUCAUCCUAGUCCGGACUAUCAUGAAAAAU
Molecule: long non-coding RNA, 571 nt
Filed under: Callithrix jacchus (white-tufted-ear marmoset)
Lineage: Eukaryota; Metazoa; Chordata; Mammalia; Primates; Cebidae
Description: lncRNA (ENSCJAG00000084569.1)
Source: RNAcentral